Molecule: Y RNA, 112 nt
Filed under: Microcebus murinus (gray mouse lemur)
Lineage: Eukaryota; Metazoa; Chordata; Mammalia; Primates; Cheirogaleidae
Description: Y RNA (ENSMICG00000044239.1)
Rfam family: Y RNA
About the family: Y RNAs are components of the Ro ribonucleoprotein particle (Ro RNP), in association with Ro60 and La proteins. The Y RNAs and Ro60 and La proteins are well conserved, but the function of the Ro RNP is not known.
Source: Rfam by way of RNAcentral
GGCUGAUCUGAAGGUAGUGAGUUAUCUCACUUGGUUGCUCAGUCAGUUACAGAUUGACCUCUUUGUUCUACUACUUUCCCCCCUUCUCACUGCUACACUUGACUACUCUAAA